CCUACGGGAGGCAGCAGUGGGGAAUAUUGGGCAAUGGGCGAAAGCCUGACCCAGCAACGCCGCGUGAAGGAAGAAGGCUUUCGGGUUGUAAACUUCUUUUGACAGGGAAGAGCAGAAGACGGUACCUGUCGAAUAAGCCACGGCUAACUACGUGCCAGCAGCCGCGGUAAUACGUAGGUGGCAAGCGUUGUCCGGAUGUACUGGGUGGAAAGGGCGUGUAGCCGGGAUGACAAGUCAGAUGUUAAAUCCGGGGGCUCAACCCCCGAACUGCAUUUGAAACUGUGGGUCUUGAGUAUCGGAGAGGCAGGCGGAAUUCCUAGUGUAGCGGUGAAAUGCGUAGAUAUUAGGAGGAACACCAGUGGCGAAGGCGGCCUGCUGGACGACAACUGACGGUGAGGCGAGAAAGCGUGGGGAGCAAACAGGAUUAGAUACCCUGGUAGUC
This 442-nucleotide ribosomal RNA is filed under the name uncultured bacterium. Its description in RNAcentral is "partial 16S ribosomal RNA". It matches the Rfam family "Bacterial small subunit ribosomal RNA", at positions 338 to 795 of the family's 1533-position model. The record is from RNAcentral.